This is a long non-coding RNA of Tympanuchus pallidicinctus (lesser prairie-chicken), 5049 nucleotides long. RefSeq lists it as uncharacterized. Lineage: Eukaryota; Metazoa; Chordata; Aves; Galliformes; Phasianidae. The record is from RefSeq and is a predicted model, not a curated record. The transcript has 4 exons.
GGCAGGGCAGGGCCGGGAUGGGGCCGGGAUGCGGCAGGUUAAGCGCGGAGCCGCUCUGCAGCACGGCCUGUGCGGGAGGCCCCGGCUGACAGCGCGGCAGCCGCGCGGGGUUCGGGGACACGCGGCCCGUCCUCCGCCAUUGAAAACCGGCCCGGCCGACGUGAACCGCGGCUCGCGCGCCUCGAUCGGAUUCCCUCGAGUGGGAGCGAAUCGAGUAACGGAGCGGCGAGGCCGUCGGCCGCUGUCCCGCUCGUCUCACCGUGCCGCGCGCUGCCCAUCCCGCCGCCGGCUCCCCCCGGCUCACCUCCUUCGCUGCGGCCGCAGCACUUCUUUCUGGGAUUCCCGCAGCAGCCGGUCGAACUCCACCACGUUCAGGCAGCGAGGGUCACCCUGCGGGGAACGGUAGCACGGCGUGCGGCUGCAGCAGGUUAAGGAUUCCCAGCUCAUGUACUGAUGGCCCUCACUGCUGUUGCCUUGGCAGGUUACACAGAUGGUCUCACCUUCCCAGCCAGGGUGGUGGCCCAUGCCUUAGCAGCAAAGCAGCAACUGAAGUCUCAGCAGCUAUGAGGACUGCACCCAUACGUAUUUCCUUGGCCAGUAAUGAAUCUUGCUCUCCUGCCUUUGUCACAUUCUUCUACAGUUUGUCAGCUUCCUAUCCCUGGGAGAUUCAGCUUGCUCAGCACGCUCUGCUGUGAAAAUCAGAGGGCUUGUUCCCCCUUCUGUGGGAGUCUGCAGUGAGCAGCCAUGGGCACAGGAAGGAAAUUUGUUCUUGGUAAGACUAUGGAAUGCACUCAGACCUAGAUAACUUUCUCUUGUGAUUUAACACCAGAAGGGAUCACUGGGACAGCUCUGUACAAACAGUGAACAACACCCAAUUAUUCUUGUCUAGACUAGAUCUAUGUUAGCGAAAGGCAGAGAAUCUACUUGCAAACACAUAGUUGAAGUGAACACAUGCAGAGCUCAAGGAAUGAAAUAAAGCUGCUUUCAGCAAGAAAGUAUUUGUCACCUAAAUAUUCCCAUGAGUAGGUAGAAAUAGAAGUAUUAUUUCUGCUCAACUGGGUGCAGAAACACAGCACUGCAUUUGACCACUUGCAUACUAGUGAAAAAGGGAGAAUGAGAGUGUAUUAACUGACCUGCAUUAAAACUGUGUAGCUUGUGAACAAAAGACAGAUCUGAUAUAACCAGAACAGGUUGCUCUGGCCACUCUGAGCAGGAAUUGUUUCACCUAAUUUAGGUGCAUGCAGAAACUUCUUUUGUAACCACCUCAGAGAAGUGCCUUGAAAGAGUGUCCAAGCAGUUUUACACGUGUGUCUCAGGAUGAGCUGAAUUUUCCCUUUUAUCCCACUUUUUAUUUCAGCAAGUUCUGUGCUGGGCCACCAGUCCAUGUCCACAAUCAACACAGUAGAUUUUAUGAGUUUUAUGAACACCCACCCUCAUUUUAGGAUUUGUACACCUAUUAUCAGUAACACAAGUUUGCAUGUAGAUAUCAUCACUAUGAUGGCUGCAAGCACUAAAAGCUGCUGCUGAGAGUAUGCAAUCUGGAGUGAUUCUUGGGAAUGUGCUCAACUGGUUUGUUUUUUAAGGAAAUGCAUUAAAAGGAAGUCCUGCUUCUAUGUCUUACUUGAAGCUUAAUACUGUGAAAGGCCAUUCUGUAUCUGUGGCUUCUGGGGUUUUCCAGGGAGACAGUUUUAGUUGCUGAUGAAAAUGGCAGUGCAGGAUCUGUGAAUCCACAGAGGGAGAAAUGGGAUGUCCCCCAGCACACUGUUCCAAGUGGUCUGGAUCCUGCCUUGGCCACAUGCUCCUCUAACUUUCCCCAUAACAACUCACUCAUCACAUACUCUCUGUUUUCAGUCUGCCCUUGAAACUAAUUGCCAUGGCACUGCUGGAGCCUGGUUCCCGACAUUGUUACUGCACUGUUUGCACCCAGCCACCUCACAAAGUCCCCGAAGUAUCUCACCUUCCCUGCAAUGAGCUUAGCCUGCAGCUCCCGGCACUCCUGCUGCAGAGCUUCAAUCUGCUUGUCUUUUGCCAGAAGAGCACUGGCUUGCUCUGUCAAGUCCUUGGCACGCUGGCGGGCAAAUGCUUUUUUACACAGCUCCAGGCUGGAACCCUUCAGGGGCACUGGAGCAGUUACCUAAACCCAGAGAGAGCAGCAAGAGAGAAAGCCACAUACAUUGGUAUUUUUCACUCAGAGGGUGGUGGUGCACUGGAACAGGUUGUCCAGAGAAGUUGUGGAUGCCCCAUCCCUGGAGGCAUUCAGGGCCAGGCUGGAUGUGGCUCUAGGCAGCCUGGUCUGGUUGGUGACCCUGCACACAGCAGGGGGUUGGAACUGGAUGAGCACUGUGGGCCUUUGCAACCCAGGCCAUUCUAGGAUUCUAUGAAUGAUGUCGGCCAACUAUCACCCCAGGUGUCAUCAGAGACCAGGGCCAGGACAUGCAGCCUAGCCCCAAAAGACAGAGAGAGGAGCAAAACAGGCAUAUGGAAAAGUCAGAGGAAAGAGGAAAUGCUUCUUCGAGGAGCAGAUCAAAGCAGAAGUGGGAAGGAGAAGGUGAGGUGAGCAGAUGAGGCCAACGCACACACAGACAGUACAGAGGGCUGCAGGCAGAGAGAGGAGAGGAAGACAGGAUGAAGGGAGAAAUAUGGGGAGAGGAGGAGAAGAGAAUGGCAGGGAAGAUGAGCAAAGGGUGGAGGAGGCUAAGCCAGGAGGAGAAAUGGAGCUGUCUUUGAAAGACAGUGGGAAAGAGCUUAUGCAAGGAUGGGUGGAAAAGACAGUCAAAAGGAGAGGUGAGGGAGAGCCUAGCCAGGGCCAGAACAGCUGAUGCUGCCCGGCUGCAGUCACCUGAGGAUGACAGCUCUCAGUAGGAGCCGUCCCUAAAGCCAGCUCUCCAUGGGGUACCAGCACCACAGGUGGGCACCCUGCAUGUCCUGAGCUGGCCACUUGGUUUUCCUAGGGCUCACCCAGGGCUCAAACAGCCACCAUCCCAAACUUAAACACAAGAAAAAAAAAUGAAACAGCAUUUGUGAAGUUCCUGGAGGGUCUGCAUAGCUGUUGGUUGUAUAGCAAAUGAUUUUUCUUGGCACAGUACCUGACAAGUCCAUCUGGCAGCAACUGUUGUGCUGCAAGUACCAAAACCCUGUGACAGACGUGUUCCUAGUGCAGUGCAGGGCCCAGGGACAGAGAGGGCAGGCAAUGCCAGGAAAAUCCCCUACCUUCCCCUACCAGCAAAGCUUUUGCUUCUUCUUUCUAUCCUGAAGGGCUUGAAUUUCCCCCCUACCCCCGGUUUCCUUCCAGUGGGAGAACAUUUUUCCCCUACUCUGCUGCAAGCUACCUUUAUGUAGCUCGUGCAGAUGUUUGUCUGCAAAGCACCAUAUCCUGCAGCCAUCUCCCUCUACUCCUGCACCACAUCAGAAACUACUGGGUUUGCAAAAAGCUCCUCUUCAGUUUGAGAAAGAAAAAAACACACCACUUGCACAGAAAUGCUAGUGAGGUGUGCACGAGGCAGAGCAGAAUAUCUCACCCCUUCCUGUUUUGCUUUACCACACUCCUUUUCUUAUUUAAAUACUUCCUGUUUCUUUUCGAUGAAGUCAGAUGAGUUAUUUUCAUGACUAGCCCAGGGAAAGCUGAGCUAAUUACCUAAAUUAAUACUUUACAUUAGAUUGGCACAUUUACAGCAAGAAACCAAUUAGGAGGAAAUUGCUCAAAACCAGCUCCCCAAGCACGAGCUGAAGAAGCUGGUGAUGGUUCUUUCCUCAGUUCAGUUUUGUGGUUUUUGCUCUGUCGCUGGUGUACAAAGCAAGUUUGCUGCAUGGCCUCGCCAGGUUAAUUAAAGAGGAAAGAGGAGGCCUUUCUGUCCCAACAAAAGCAAAAAACAAGAAGUCCUGGGGGCAAGGUGCUCUCCUAGGCUCAGGCCCCAGCACAGCAGAGGCUCAGCACUCACGACUUUGAGGUUGGCCUCCUGCAGUUUUCGGGCUCUCUCCUCCAGUCGUUUGGCGAUCACCGCCAGCUCUGCGUUUUUCCUCUUUAGGUGCUUCACCUUCUCCUCCGUCUCAGGGAAGCAGCUCCUGCGCUGGAUAACAGAAGGAGAGGGCCAAGGCACAGCCAAGAAGUCACAGAGCCAAGUGCUGAUCAGGCUGCGUAGCCCAUUGCUCUGGUCCCAGGUUCUGCAGCACCACUGGUCCCAUCCCUGCUGCUUUACAGGCACAGCAUGUGUCCCAGAGAAAAUUUCCAUCUCCAGAAACAGCAGAGCCCUUCCUGGCACCCAGGAAGGGGACACUGUGCGUCCGACAGGGCCAUGGAGCAGGGCAGGGGCACAGAGGGGUCCAGUCAGUGUUUUCCAGGCAAGCUCAGCAGAGCUGUGGGCUGGUUCAGCAUGCCAUCCCUAAGGCUAGGAGGGCAGCCCUUGGGAUGAAGUCAGAGUGCAUUAUUUCCACCUCUUUGCAGCUGCCAAGAAGAUUCAAGCUUUUCAUCUUUGCUUUCCGGCGCCCAGCAAGGCCAGGCAUGCUCAGCCUGGGGCAGGAUCUGGGUGGCUGUGGAGCAGCCAGAGUGCCGUAUCCUGUCCCCAGCAGCAGCCAGGCUUGUGGCACGUCAGCACAGUGCUUCUGCAGGGACAACUGGUACUUCCAGAGACUCUAGAAGGGAUUCUGCUGGGAACCAACCCCCUUAUGGGCCCAUUUCAGUCUUUGAAACCUCUUUUCUGUAGCUAAAAACAGCUAAAACCCAGGAGCCUGCAAUGAGCUCCUGAGUGCUGCCCUGAGCCCUGCCCCAGGCUGGGUCAGCCCACAGCUUGGCUGUCCCCAGCUCCUAGGACCCUCUAUAGCCUCAGGGCCUCACCAGGAGAGGCACAAGGGGCGGCAGCAGCAAUGUGGUAUCAGGGGACCUUCCCUGUAGCACUGCAGCUCCUGAGAAAGCUUUGUCACCUCCUCCUGGCACAAGAUCGGGGCAGGGCUGGCUGCCUGGGCUGAGUCUUCCUCGCACACCACAUGGCCAGCACCGACCGCCUGUCUAGACGUCAUCCCACACUCAUUAAACAUUCAUUUCCCAUAAUGAAA